GGGAGGAAGUGGUGUAGCAAAGUCGACGAGCCUACGAACAGAAACCAGAUAUGAGGCUAAAUGACGGGCAAGGUUGCAUAACAAACCAAAGCCCAAAAGGUAAACGUAACGUCAAGACAGUAAAUCUGGAGGUUGUGCGACGAAAGAAUU
This 150-nucleotide non-coding RNA is filed under the name uncultured Emergencia sp. The record is from RNAcentral. Lineage: Bacteria; Bacillati; Bacillota; Clostridia; Peptostreptococcales; Anaerovoracaceae.